CAUAGUUCAACAGAAUUACUACACAGGCGAAAUAAGAGCGUUCAGGUUCACUAACUCUGAUGCUGAUACUGCAAUGAGUAUCAACUUAUGUUCUACUAGGAAUAGGUAAACAGUCGUGGUUCCACACACCUCAUCAUGCCCUAUUGCAGGUAUCACAUCAUGCCCUAUUGCAGGCAUCAACUGGGAUCGCGAUGAAGUAGCAUGGUGUUCAGAUCAGAUGGAAGCCAAACAAUGCUACAUGGCAGCGGAAGAUUGACCUCAGCGCUGCUUCCUCCUAUUUGUUCGCCACUGUUUCAGGACGAACUGGACAGCUUCCUUCAGGG
RNAcentral lists this long non-coding RNA (323 nucleotides) under Setaria italica (foxtail millet). RNAcentral's name for it is "long non-coding RNA (SITA_LNC004195)". Lineage: Eukaryota; Viridiplantae; Streptophyta; Magnoliopsida; Poales; Poaceae. The record is from RNAcentral.